RNAcentral lists this ribosomal RNA (498 nucleotides) under uncultured bacterium. RNAcentral's name for it is "partial 16S ribosomal RNA". It matches the Rfam family "Bacterial small subunit ribosomal RNA", at positions 30 to 523 of the family's 1533-position model. The record is from RNAcentral.
AUUAAACGCUGGCGGCAUGCUUUACACAUGCAAGUCGAACGGUAACAGGCCGCAAGGUGCUGACGAGUGGCGAACGGGUGAGUAAUGCAUCGGAACGUGCCCAGUCGUGGGGGAUAACGCAGCGAAAGCUGCGCUAAUACCGCAUACGAUCUAUGGAUGAAAGCGGGGGACCGUAAGGCCUCGCGCGAUUGGAGCGGCCGAUGUCAGAUUAGGUAGUUGGUGGGGUAAAGGCUCACCAAGCCAACGAUCUGUAGCUGGUCUGAGAGGACGACCAGCCACACUGGGACUGAGACACGGCCCAGACUCCUACGGGAGGCAGCAGUGGGGAAUUUUGGACAAUAGGCGCAAGCCUGAUCCAGCAAUGCCGCGUGCAGGAAGAAGGCCUUCGGGUUGUAAACUGCUUUUGUACGGAACGAAACGGCUCUGGUUAAUACCUGGGGCUAAUGACGGUACCGUAAGAAUAAGCACCGGCUAACUACGUGCCAGCAGCCGCCGUAA